GAUGAACGCUGGCGGCGUGCCUAAUACAUGCAAGUCGAGCGAACGGACGAGAAGCUUGCUUCUCUGAUGUUAGCGGCGGACGGGUGAGUAACACGUGGAUAACCUACCUAUAAGACUGGGAUAACUUCGGGAAACCGGAGCUAAUACCGGAUGAUAUUUUGAACCGCAUGGUCCAAAAGUGAAAGACGGUCUUGCUGUCACUUAUAGAUGGAUCCGCGCUGCAUUAGCUAGUUGGUAAGGUAAUGGCUUACCAAGGCAACGAUGCAUAGCCGACCUGAGAGGGUGAUCGGCCACACUGGAACUGAGACACGGUCCAGACUCCUACGGGAGGCAGCAGUAGGGAAUCUUCCGCAAUGGGCGAAAGCCUGACGGAGCAACGCCGCGUGAGUGAUGAAGGUCUUCGGAUCGUAAAACUCUGUUAUUAGGGAAGAACAUAUGUGUAAGUAACUGUGCACAUCUUGACGGUACCUAAUCAGAAAGCCACGGCUAACUACGUG
RNAcentral lists this ribosomal RNA (497 nucleotides) under uncultured bacterium. RNAcentral describes it as "partial 16S ribosomal RNA". It matches the Rfam family "Bacterial small subunit ribosomal RNA", at positions 28 to 507 of the family's 1533-position model. The record is from RNAcentral.